RNAcentral lists this ribosomal RNA (462 nucleotides) under uncultured bacterium. RNAcentral's name for it is "partial 16S ribosomal RNA". It matches the Rfam family "Bacterial small subunit ribosomal RNA", at positions 28 to 507 of the family's 1533-position model. The record is from RNAcentral.
GACGAACGCUGGCGGCGUGCUUAACACAUGCAAGUCGAACGGAAAGGCCCUUCGGGGUCCUCGAGUGGCGCACGGGUGAGUAACACGUGGGUGAUCUGCCCUGCACUUUGGGAUAAGCCUGGGAAACUGGGUCUAAUACCGAAUAGGACCGCGCGCUUCAUGGUGUGUGGUGGAAAGCUUUUGCGGUGUGGGAUGGGCCCGCGGCCUAUCAGCUUGUUGGUGGGGUAAUGGCCUACCAAGGCGACGACGGGUAGCCGGCCUGAGAGGGUGACCGGCCACACUGGGACUGAGAUACGGCCCAGACUCCUACGGGAGGCAGCAGUGGGGAAUAUUGCACAAUGGGCGCAAGCCUGAUGCAGCGACGCCGCGUGAGGGAUGACGGCCUUCGGGUUGUAAACCUCUUUCACCAGGGACGAAGCGCAAGUGACGGUACCUGGAGAAGAAGCACCGGCCAACUACGUG